This 552-nucleotide long non-coding RNA is filed under the name Salmo trutta (river trout). Its description in RNAcentral is "lncRNA (ENSSTUG00000047755.1)". The record is from RNAcentral. Lineage: Eukaryota; Metazoa; Chordata; Actinopteri; Salmoniformes; Salmonidae.
CCUUCACGCAACACACUUGUAACAUCAUAUACUCUGUCUCUCAGUUGUUGCAGAUGCACACAGUGUCUUCAUUCAGACCAAUUCCCCAGUCACAGCUGAUGCACAAGGAUCCACUCUACAGGCUUCCAGUCAUCCUGGUGUAACAGAACAGACACAGCAUGCUGUUUCCGCAGCUGAACAGUACAACCCAUCUGGUCAGGGUCCUGAAGGUGCAGAAAAUGUGGAACUGGAGGAUACCUGCUGACUUCCAUAUGAAGCCUCGAGUCAAGUUUCUACGCUACAGAUUUCAGUGUACGGACCAGUCUGCAUGGCAGAGAAACAGUGAUCCAGCCCACUAGCAAAUCUAGUUGUUUGUGUCUAUGUUUGUUUGUUUGAACUUUGUCUAUUUAAACUUAAAGAUGACACUGUAAGUAAACGUUUUGCGCACUUGUUAAUAGAUGUUUUGUUUAAUUCGUUGCAUAUAUGACAAAAAGACGAGGGUAUUAAGGAAAACCCUCUGAAUAUGGCUCAUACAAAAGUGUCAUCCCUAUGAAUAUCAUUGUACAAAAGCUC